RNAcentral lists this ribosomal RNA (811 nucleotides) under uncultured archaeon. RNAcentral's name for it is "bacterial SSU rRNA". It matches the Rfam family "Archaeal small subunit ribosomal RNA", at positions 37 to 849 of the family's 1478-position model. The record is from RNAcentral.
UGUUCGAUUAAGCCAUGCGAGUUAAAUGUUCUUCGUGAACAUAGCAGACUGCUCAGUAACACGUGGAUAACCUGCCCUUAGGACUGGCAUAACCCCGGGAAACUGGGGAUAAUUCCGGAUAGACCAUAAAUGCUGGAAUGCUUUAUGAUUGAAAGGUUUCGACCGCCUUAGGAUGGAUCUGCGGCCUAUCAGGUUGUAGUGGGUGUAAUGUACCUACUAGCCUACGACGGGUACGGGUUGUGGAAGCAAGAGCCCGGAGAUGGAUUCUGAGACAUGAAUCCAGGCCCUACGGGGCGCAGCAGGCGCGAAAACUUUACAAUGCGGGAAACCGUGAUAAGGGAACACUGAGUGCUAGCAUUUAUGUUAGCUGUCCACAUGUGUAAAUAGCAUGUGAUAGCAAGGGCUGGGCAAGACCGGUGCCAGCCGCCGCGGUAACACCGGCAGCCCGAGUGGUGAUCACUAUUAUUGGGUCUAAAGGGUCCGUAGCCGGUUUAAUCAGUCUUCUGGGAAAUCUAAUCGCUUAACUAUUAGGCUUCCAGGGGAUACUGUUAGACUUGGGACCGGGAGAGGUAAGAGGUACUGCAGGGGUAGGAGUGAAAUCUUGUAAUCCCUGUGAGACCACCAGUGGCGAAGGCGUCUUACCAGAACGGGUCCGACGGUGAGGGACGAAAGCUGGGGGCACGAACCGGAUUAGAUACCCGGGUAGUCCCAGCUGUAAACGAUGCUCGUUAGGUGUCAGGAACGGUGCGACUGUUUCUGGUGCCGAAGGGAAGCCGUGAAACGAGCCACCUGGGAAGUACGGCCGCAAGGC